RNAcentral lists this ribosomal RNA (121 nucleotides) under Helianthus annuus (common sunflower). The record is from RNAcentral. Lineage: Eukaryota; Viridiplantae; Streptophyta; Magnoliopsida; Asterales; Asteraceae.
GGUUGCGAUCAUACCAGCACUAAUGCACCGGAUCCCAUCAGAACUCCGCAGUUAAGCGUGCGUGGGCGAGAGUAGUACUAUGAUUGGUGACCCACUCGGAAGUCCUCGUGUUGCAAUCCUC